RNAcentral lists this long non-coding RNA (5163 nucleotides) under Sus scrofa (pig). RNAcentral's name for it is "lncRNA (ENSSSCG00000056404.1)". The record is from RNAcentral. Lineage: Eukaryota; Metazoa; Chordata; Mammalia; Artiodactyla; Suidae.
CAGCUGCUGGCCUACACCACAGUCACAGAAAUGCUGGAUCCAAGACAUACCUGCAAGCUAUGCCACAGUUUAUGACAAUGCCAGAUCCCUAACCCACUGAGCAAGGCCAGGGAUCAAACCUGCAUCCUUACAGAUAUUGUCAGGAUCUUAACCUGCGGAGCCAAAACAAGAACUCCUAUUUUGUUCUUUUUGAUGGAUGAUUAUUAUUCCAUUGUAUAUGUACCACAUCUUCUUAACCCAUUUAUCUGUCAUAAAUCAUAUUUCAAACAAUUAGAAAGCUUGUAAUCAAACAAAUUUCUAAAUAAAGACAUAAAGAGUGACAUCGAUACAGAUAUUUUAAUUAAGAUUUUAAUUAAAUAUAAUCAUUUGAUAUUUUCAUAAUGCUGUAAAAAUGUACUUGGUUGAAAUAGUCAUGGCAGAAGAAAAUAUCAUGAAAUUUUGUUUUGCUAGUUCUUUUUAAAUAAUGUAGAUAUUCAAUAUUUCUCUUUUGAAUACUGAUCAUCUCUCUUUCAUUGUAAAUAAGAUAUGACCAACAGUCCUUUAAAACAACUUUUUAAAUCAUCCAAAAGAAAUUUUAAAAUGAUAUUUUAUUAGGAGUGGAAAAAGUUAACCAUCUUGGAGAAUAGAAACUUUCAUAAUAUGCCUAUAUAUCCACACCAUCUUGCCAGUUUUUCUUGUUCCCCAUCAUUUACUGGAAGUCUAAUAACUACAUUUGAAAGAAAAAAUAAACUGGAAGACAUAAACACAAAAUACUGCUAGAUCUUCAUUGUUUGUGUUUUGAUUUAUAAAUGGCAUUGAAAUCAUUAUUCACUAUACAGUCUUUUUUUUUAUUACUCAAUGAAUUUACUACAUUUAUAGUUGUGCAAUGAUCAUUACAAUCCAGUUUUAUAGGAUUUCCAUCCCACAACUCCAGCGCAUCCCCGCACCCUCCGAACUGUCUCCUUUUGAAAUCAUAAGUUCUUCAAAGUCUGUGAGUCAGCAUCUGUUCUGCAAAGAAGUUCAGUCUGUCCUUUUUUCAGAUUCCACAUGUCAGUGAAAGCAUUUGAUGUUGGUGUCUCAUUUUCUGACUGACUUCACUUAGCAUGAUAGUUUCUAGGUCCAUCCAUGUUUCUGAAAAUGAUGUUGUUGCAUUCCUUUUAAUGGCUGAGUAAUAUUCCAUUAUAUAUGUGUACCACAUCUUCUUGAUCCACUCCUCUGUCAAUGGGCAUUUAGGUUUUUCUAUGUCUUGGCUGUUGCAUUAUAGUGCUGCAAUGAACAUAAGAGUACAUGUGUCUUUUCAAGUCAUGGUUUUCUCUGAAUAGAUGCCCAGGAGUGGGAUUGCUGGAUCAAAUGGUAGUUCUAUUUCUAGUUUUCUGAGAAAUCUCCAUACUGUUUUCCACAGUGGUUGUGCCAAUUUACAAUGCCACCAACAGUGUACUAGGGUUCCUUUUUCUCCACACCCUCUCUAGCACUGAUUGUUUGUAGACAUUUGGAUGAUAGCCAUUCUGGCUGGUGUAAGGUGGUACCUCAUAGUGGUUUUGAUUUGCAUUUCUCUAGUAAUGAUGAUGCUGAACGUCUUUUCAUGUGUUUUUUGGCCACCUGUAUGUCUUCUUUGGAGAACUGUCUGUUUAGAUCUUCUGCCCAUUUUUGGAUGGGGUUAUUUGUUUUUUUUGGUAUUGAGCUACAGAAGGUGUUUAUAAAUUUUGGAGAUUAAUCCCUUGUCAUUUGAUUCAUUUGUAAAGAUUAUCUCCCAAUCUGUGGGUUGUCUUUUCAUUUUGUUUAGGGUUUCCUUUGCUGUGCAGAAACUUUUAAGUUUAAUUAAGUCUCAUUUGUUUAUUUUUAAUUGUCAUUACUCUAAGAGGUGGAUCUGAGAAGAUGUUGCUGUCAUUGAUGUCAGCGAGUAUUUGGCCUAUGUUUUCCUCUAAGAGGUUUAUAGUGUCUGGUUUUAUAUCUAGGUCUUUAAUCCAUUUGGAGUUUAUUUUUGUGUAUGGUGUUAGGGAGUGUUCUAAUUUCAUUCUUUUCCAUGUGGCUGUCCAGUUUUCCCAGCACCAUUUAUUGAACAGGCUGUCCUUUCUCCAUUGUAUAUUCUUACCUCCUUUGUCAUAGAUUAGUUAGCUGUAGGUGCAUGGGUUGAAUUCUGGGCCUUCUAUCCUGUUCCACUGAUCUAUAUUUCUGUCUUUGUGCCAGUACCAUAUGGUUUUGAUGACUGUAGCUUUGUAGUAUAGUCUGAAGUCAGGGAGCCUGAUUCCUCCAGCUCCAUUUUUCUUUUUCAGGAUAUCUUUGGCUAUUCUGGGUCUUUUGUCUGCUUCCAAACAAACUUUAAUAUUUUGUUUGAGUUCUUUGAAAAAUGUCCUUGGUAAUUUGACAGGAAUUGAAUUGAAUCUGUAUAUUGCCUUGAGUAGUAAGUCAUUUUGAUAAUAUUGACUCUUCCAAUCCAAGAGCAUGGUAUGUCUUUCCAUUUAUUUGUGUCAUCUUUGAUUUCUUUCAUCAGUGUCUUAUAGUUUUCAGAGUACAGAUCUUUUGUCUCUUUACGUAGGUUUACGCCUAGGUAUUUUAUUCUUUUGGAUGUGAUGGUAAAGGGGAUUGCUUCCCUAAUUUCUCUUUCUGAUCUUUCAGUGCUAAUAUAUAGAAAUGCCAUUGAUUUCUGUGUAUUAAUUUUGUAUCCUGCAACUUUGCCAAAUUCAUGGAUGAGCUCUAACAGUUUUCUGGUAGAGUCUUUAGGAUUCUCUAGGUAUAGUAUGUCAUCUGCAAAUAGUGAUAGUUUUACUUCUUCCUUUCCAAUUUGGAUUCCUUUUAUCUCUUACUUCUCUGAUUGCUGUGGCUAGGACUUCCAAAACUAUGUUGAAGAGUAGUGGCGAGAGUGGACAUCUUUGUCUUGUUCCUGAUCUCUGUGGGGAUUCUUUUAGCUUUUCACCACUGAGAAUGAUGUUCACUGUGGGUUUGUCAUAUAUGGCCUUUAUUAUGUUGAGGUAGUUUCCCUCUAUGCCCACUUUCUGAAGGGUUUUUAUCAGAAAUGGGUGUUGGCUUUUGUCAAAGGCUUUUUCCGCAUAUAUUGAGAGGACCAUAUGAUUUUUAUUCUUCAGUUUAUUAAUGUGGUAUAUCAUUAAUAAACUGUGGAUUUGUGGAUAUUGAAGAACCCUUGCAUCCCUGGGAUAAAUCCCACUUGAUCAUGAUGUACAAUGCUUUUAAUGUAUUGUUGGAUGCGGCUUGCUAGUAUUUUGUUGAGGAUUUUUGCAUCGAUGUUCGUCAGUGAAAUUGGCCUGUAAUUUUCGUUUUUUGUGGUGUCUUUGUCUGGUUUUGGUAUCAGGGUGAUGGGAACCUCAUAAAAUGAGUUUGGGAGUAUCCCUUCCUCUGCAAUUUUUUGAAAUAGUUUCAGAAAGAUAGGUAUUAGCUCUUCCCUAAAUGUUUGAUAGAAUUUGCCUGUGAAGCCAUCUGGUCCUGGACUUUUGUUUGUUGGAAGUUUUCUAAUCCCAGUUUCAAUUUCAGUUCUUGUGAUUGGUCCAUUCAUCUUUUCUAUUUCAUCUUGAUUUAGUCUCGGAAGAUUAUACUUUUCUAAGAAUUUGUCCAUUUCUUCUAGGUUUUCCAUUUUAUUGGCAUAUAGUUGCAUAUAGCAGUCCCUUAUGAUCCUUUGUAUUUCUGUGAUGUCCGUUUGUUACUUCUCCAUUUUUAUUUCUAAUUUUAUUGAUUUGAGUCUUCUCUCUUUUUUUCUUGAUAAGUCUGGCUAAGGGUUUAUCAAUUUGGUUGAUCUUUUGAAAGAACCAGCUUUUCGUUUUAUUGAUCUUUUCUAUGGUUUUCUUCGUUUGUAUUUCAUUGAUUUCUGCUCUGAUCUUUAUGGUUUCUUUCCUUCUACUAACUUUAAGUCUUGUCUCUUCUCUCUCUAGCUGCUUUAGAUGUAAAGUUGGCUUGUUUAUUUGAGCUUUUCUUGUUUCCUGAGGUGGGCUUGUAUUGCUAUAAACUUUCCUCUUAGAAUGGCUUUUUGCUGCAUCCCAUAGGUUUUGGAGUGUUGUAUCUUUGUUGUCAUUUGCUUCUAGGUAUUUUUUAAUUUCCUCUUUGAUUUCUUCAGUGAUCCAUUGGUUGUUUAGUAGCAUGUUGUUUAGUCUCCACAUGUUUGUGUUUUUUGCAGUUUUUUUCUUGUUGUUGAUUUCCAGUCAUAAAGUGUUGUGGUCGGAAAAGAUGCUUGAUAUGAUUUAAAUUUUCUUAAAGAUACCAAUGUAUGAUUUGUAGCCUAGGAUGUGAUCAAUCUUAGAGAAUGUUCCAUGUGCCCUUGAGAAGAAUGUGUAUUCUGUUGCUUUUGGAUGGAAUGUCCUAUAAAUAUCUACUACGUCCAUUUUGUCUAAUGCUUCACUCAGGGCCUGUGUUUCCUUACUGAUUUUCUAUCUGGAUGAUCUGUCCAUUGCUGUAAGUGGGGUGUUAAAAUCCCCCACUAUUACUGUUACUGUUGAUUUGUCCUUUUAAGGUUGUUAGCAGUUGCCUUAUAUAUUGUGGUGAACCUAUGUUGGGUGCAUAGAUAUUUAAAAUUGUUAUAUCUUCUUCUAUGAUUGAUCCUUUGAUCAUUAUAUAGUGACCUUUCUUGUCCCUUAAAAUAUUCUUCAUUUUAAAGUCUAUUUUGUCUAUUGUGAGUAUUGCUACUCCAGCUUUCUUUUGAUUCCUGUUUGCAUGAAAUAUUUUCUUCCAUCCUCUCACUUUCAAUUUGUAUGUGUCCCUAGAAGUGAAGUGGGUCUCUUAUCCGAAGUUUGGAUGGAUCUGUUCAGGCUGUGAAAACUUGGUAUAUUUUAGGAAACAUUUUACUUCUAUUAAAUGAUGAAAUCAUUGUACCAAAAAAGAUGUAUUUGCUUAAUAAAUUAAAAAUAAGUAGAAUAAACAAGAUAUGCUGAAUGGACUUGCAGGAAUUAUAAGGGAUGGGAAAUUUUUUGGGAUAUUUUCAUUCUAGCCUUAUUAAAAAAAGAAAACAAAAAGUAAUUUAUGUCAGAGUUCCCGUUGUGGCGCAAUGGUUAACGAAUCCAAGUAGGAACCAUGAGGUUGCAGGUUCGGUCCCUGGCCUUGCUCAGUGGGUUGGGGAUCCGGCGUUGUUGUGAGCUGUGGUGUAGGUUGCAGACACGGCUGGGAUCCUGCAUUGCUGUGGCUCUGGCAUAGGCCGGUGGCUACAGCUCUGAUUAGACCCCUAGCCUGGGAACCUCCAUAUGC